Long non-coding RNA from Heterocephalus glaber (naked mole-rat), 500 nucleotides. The record is from Ensembl. NCBI's taxonomy places the organism in Eukaryota, Metazoa, Chordata, Mammalia, Rodentia, Bathyergidae.
ACAACAACAAAAAUGAUUCUUCAGUGGACUCUGAGUCAAAGGAAAAGAAAUAUUAGAAAAGCUGAAAACUAAGAUAUGGUCUUCAAAUUUUGGCUUUAUUGAUCAUAAAAGACACAAAGAAGCUUAAUCUUGGGCAUUGUGACAGCUCAGAAGAACAGCUAGUGUGCACAACAGGUCUAUAAAGAGGGGAAUGUUGGUAAUACCCAACAGGGGAAAUGGUUGGAUCACAUGACAAGUGUAUGCUUAACAUUUUAAGAAAUUAUCAAACUCUUCUCCAAAGUGUUUUUAUCAUUUUACAUUUCUAGGGAGUUCCAUUUUCUUCACAUCCUUGCCAAUGCAGGUUGUAAGAAACCAGAAGAAAACACAACUUAAUGUACUUUAACUCCAAGCAAGAUCACUUCAGAGAAAUUUCUCAUAACAGCAAUCCAGAGGCCGGAAAAGGUCCAAUGUGAAAAAAUAUGCUAAAAAGUGGGUGACAAAUGGCCAGCUUCUGCCUCCAG